RNAcentral lists this non-coding RNA (21 nucleotides) under Rattus norvegicus (Norway rat). The record is from RNAcentral. Lineage: Eukaryota; Metazoa; Chordata; Mammalia; Rodentia; Muridae.
UAUGAGUUUGUUUUGCAGGAA